AAAACGACUUUCGGCAACGGAUAUUUAGGCUCUGGCAUGGAKGAAGAAGGAAGGGAAAUGCGAUACUUGGUGUGAAUUGCAGAAUCCCGGGAAUCAUGGAGUUUUUGAACCCAAGUUGCGCCGGAACCCAUUCGGCGGAGGGCACUUCUCCCUGGGUGUCAGGC
Molecule: ribosomal RNA, 164 nt
Filed under: Quercus environmental sample
Lineage: Eukaryota; Viridiplantae; Streptophyta; Magnoliopsida; Fagales; Fagaceae
Description: 5.8S ribosomal RNA
Rfam family: 5.8S ribosomal RNA
About the family: 5.8S ribosomal RNA (5.8S rRNA) is a component of the large subunit of the eukaryotic ribosome.
Source: RNAcentral